GAGUAGCCUUCCAAGAUGUAUAGGUUAAUAUUUUUAGCAUGAAAGAAGCUAAUAGUCUAGAGAUGUAUAUCGAAACUUUAAAUUAUAUAUGAGAGAUAUAAUCCUUGCUACAAUCAGCUACAUGAUUAACAAGGAAUUUAGUACAAAAUCGAAGCACGGACGAGAGGUUGGCAACAGAGAUGAUGCAAGCACUCUUGGCUGGAAUCUCAUUUUUUUUUCUCAAGAAGAUUGCACCGCCAGUCGCUGAAGAUGCUGGAAGAAAACUUGGAGACUUACAUCAUCAGUGAAUAUCACAUCUGAGCCUGCUGCCAUAUCGUUUGCGUUGUUGUAUGUGGCUGAGGGAUUCAACUUUGCCAAAAGAAAUCUUGCCUGGUAAGCAUGUGGGAAAAUAUUAGAACAUCGAUAAGCAGAAACAACCAGA
RNAcentral lists this unclassified non-coding RNA (421 nucleotides) under Hevea brasiliensis (rubber tree). The record is from RNAcentral. Lineage: Eukaryota; Viridiplantae; Streptophyta; Magnoliopsida; Malpighiales; Euphorbiaceae.